RNAcentral lists this ribosomal RNA (484 nucleotides) under uncultured bacterium. RNAcentral describes it as "partial 16S ribosomal RNA". It matches the Rfam family "Bacterial small subunit ribosomal RNA", at positions 30 to 507 of the family's 1533-position model. The record is from RNAcentral.
AUUGAACGCUGGCGGCAGGCCUAACACAUGUAAGUCGAGCGUAUUAUGUGAGCUUGCUCCUGGAUUCAGCAGCGUACGGGUGAGUAAUGCCUAGGACACUUCCUCGAAGUGGGGGAUAACGUCCGGACACGGGCGCUAAUACCUCAUACGUUCUGACGGAGAACGUGGGGGGUAUUCGGACCUCACGCUAUCAGAUGAGCCUAGGUCUCAUUAGCUAGUGGGUGGGGUAAAGGCCUACCAAGGCGACGAUCCGUAACUGGUCUGAGAGGAUGAGCAGGCACACGGGAACUGAGAAAAGCUCCAGACCCCUACGGGAGGGAGCAGUGGGGAAUAUUGGACAAUGCGCGCAAGCUUGCUCCAGCCAUGCCGCGUGCGUGAAGAAGCUCUUCGGCUUAUAAAGCACUUUAAGUUGGGAGGAAGGGCAGUAAGUUAAUACCUUGCUGUUCUGACGUUACCCACAGAAUAGGCACGGGCUAACUUCGUG